UACGAAGGGGGCUAGCGUUGUUCGGAAUUACUGGGCGUAAAGCGCACGUAGGCGGCAUGUUAAGUCAGGGGUGAAAUCCCGGGGCUCAACCCCGGAACUGCCUUUGAUACUGGCAUUCUCGAGUCCGGAAGAGGUGAGUGGAAUUCCGAGUGUAGAGGUGAAAUGCGCAGAUAUCAGGAGGAACACCGGUGGCGAAGGCGGGUCUCUGGGCCGAUACUGACGCUGAGGAGCGAAAGCGUGGGGAGCGAGCCGG
RNAcentral lists this ribosomal RNA (253 nucleotides) under uncultured bacterium. RNAcentral's name for it is "partial 16S ribosomal RNA". It matches the Rfam family "Bacterial small subunit ribosomal RNA", at positions 524 to 776 of the family's 1533-position model. The record is from RNAcentral.